RNAcentral lists this long non-coding RNA (1599 nucleotides) under Nicotiana benthamiana. Its description in RNAcentral is "long non-coding RNA (NBEN_LNC025431)". The record is from RNAcentral. Lineage: Eukaryota; Viridiplantae; Streptophyta; Magnoliopsida; Solanales; Solanaceae.
UGGACACUUGGGGACCUUAUCAUACUCCAACCUCUUCUGGUUGUAGAUAUUUCCUUACAAUUGUUGAUGAUUUUUCUAGGGCAACAUGGACACACAUAAUGGGAUCCAAAAGCAAUGCUUUUUCUAUGCUUAAGUCAUUUCUUUCUCUGGUUAAAACUCAAUUUAAUACUGUGGUUCAAACUGUUAGAAGUGACAAUGCCUUAGAAUUGGGCUCUAGCAUUGAGGGUAUUUCCUUUUUUAGCAGCCAGGGGAUCAUACAUCAAACCUCCUGCUCUCAUACCCCUCAACAGAAUGGUGUUGUUGAGAGGAAGCAUAGAACCCUCCUUGAAACCUGUAGGGCUUUGCUCUUCCAAUCUGGCAUGCUUGUAUCUUUCUGGGGAGAUUGUUUGUUGAUUGCCACCUACCUACUUAACAGAAUACCCACCAGAUUACUUCAUAAUAUAUCUCCUCAUGAAAUCUUGUAUGGGAAAGUUCCAAGAUACUCACUUGAGGACAUUUGGUUGCCUUGCCUAUGCCACUGUCCCAAUCCCUCAAAGGGACAAGUUAAAGCCAAGAGCCAUUCCUUGCGUUUUCCUGGGAUAUCCUUUUGGAAAAAAAGGUUAUAGAUUGUAUGAUCUUGUUUCAAAAAAAUAUUUGGUCUCCAGGGAUGUCAUAUUUCAUGAAUCAUAUUUUCCUUUUCAAACUGUGUCUCCUUCUGCUCAUCCUUCUGCUUCAUCUUUUCCUUUUGUUCCUUCUGGAGAACAUGAUGAAUGAUGGCUGUAUUGAAAGGUAUAAAGUCAGACUUGUUAUUAGAGGUGAUAUUCAGGUUGAAGGUAUUGAUUUCACUGACACCUUUUCUCCUGUGGUUAAAAUGUGCACUGUUAAGUGUCUUAUUGCUGUGGCUGUGAAAAAUCAUUGGAAUUUGUUUCAACUAGAUGUUAAUAAUGCUUUCUUGCAUGGUGAUUUGGAUAAGGAGGUCUAUAUGAAGCUCCCUCCAGGUUUGUCUGUUUCUGCCUCCUCUGCCUCUACUCCCUUUGUUUGCAAAUUAAACAAAUCCCUAUAUGGGCUAAGACAGGCUUCCAGACAGUGGUAUGCCAAAUUGUCUUGUGCCCUUUAUUCCAGAGGCUAUAGACAUCUUUGAAUGAUUACUCUCUAUUCAUCAAAGGUACACCAGGGUCUCUUGUGAUUGUUGCUGUUUAUGUGGAUGAUAUUAUUCUUACUGGGGAUGACUGUGAUGAAAUUGUUGACCUGAAACUGUUUCUGGAUGAUCAGUUCAAAAUUAAGGACCUAGGGUCCUUACAUUAUUUUCUGGUUGACCUGAGACAGUUUCUAGAUGAUCAGUUCAAAAUUAAGGACCUAGGGUCCUUACAUUAUUUUCGAGGCAUUGAGAUGUCAGCUGUUCUUGGUGGGAUGAUCCUUAAUUAGCAUAAAUAUAUUUCUAAUUUGCUGCAACAGUUUGACUGUGUCAAUGUCUCUUCUGUUGUUUGCCCAUUGGACAUUAAUGCAAAAUUGCAUGCUGAUUUUGGUGACCUUUUGCAUUCUCCUGAUCAGUAUUGGAGUCUUGUCGGUAAGCUCUUAUUUCUGACACAUACUAGGCCUGACAUCUGUUUUGCUGUGCAA